GUAGAAGUCGGCAUUGAGUUCAAUCAAACUGCUUCGGCUGCUGAAAUCCCACGGGCUGAAGACGUUGCAAAGACCUUAGUGGACGCUGUGAAUAACCCCAACAGCACCUUCAACCUCUCUAUUGAUGCCGCUUCUGUCGCUGUAAUUCAAAGCAGUAUUCCGUCAAGUACCCCAACAACAGUGCCUGCUCUGAAUACUACGGCCAAUGCAAGUACAACGAGUGGAACAAACAACACAUCUACAACCAACACAUCCGCAAUGACACCUUUAACUGUAGCACCUGCAACUUCAGUAACAUCGGCAACUAUUACUGAAGCGCCUGCACGAGUGUUUGUCCUCUCAGCUACUUUGCAACAACCAUUCAUAGAAGAACUCAAUGAUCGGACCAGCCAGCAAUUCAGGAAUCUCGAGGCAACAGUUGUGACUGCGUGUGAUUCAAUCUACACGACCAGAUUCGGCGUCCUUUUCAUCCGGACCUUUGUCAUUGUGUUCAGACAAGCUCAGGCGGCAGGACAAAUGUCUAAUACGGAAGUAGAAGUCGGCAUUGAGUUCAAUCAAACUGCUUCGCUUGCU
Molecule: long non-coding RNA, 573 nt
Organism: Gasterosteus aculeatus aculeatus (three-spined stickleback)
Lineage: Eukaryota; Metazoa; Chordata; Actinopteri; Perciformes; Gasterosteidae
Source: Ensembl